GCUAAAUGUAAAAUUGCAGCACUUCUUUAUCACAGAUGAAAAGUGGAUCACUUGCACAGCAGGAGACAUUUAUGUACGUUUUAAAGCCUUAAAUGGAACAUCAAAGCCCUGCUCUGUCAAAAAGCAAUAUACAACUACCAGUUCGCCAUCAUUGCGAUUGGAUUGGAUUUGCAGCCAACAUCCACCAAGAUGUCUGAGGUGACAACACAGACCACAAGUUAUUAUGCUAGGAUGGUCAGCAUUGAGGGCUAGGCCUUGAAGCUAUCCAUCUGUAUGCCUUUGUCGUGUGUUACUGUAAUCUGGAGUUUUAGCAUGCACUAUGCGGGUGAUGGUACAGAGAUCAUCUGUCUAGCAAUGUACAAGUGCCAGUUCAGCACCAGAACAGAGACAAGCCUAGAAUGGAUCUCGUAAGCUUUGUGUCUGUAGACUCAUUAACAUUAUACUGGUGUGUUUUGUUGUAUAUAAUAGAUUUUGAACCAUAAUAUUGGCUGUAUUUACAGUGUU
Long non-coding RNA from Triplophysa rosa, 504 nucleotides. RefSeq lists it as uncharacterized. The record is from RefSeq and is a predicted model, not a curated record. The transcript is spliced from 4 exons. NCBI's taxonomy places the organism in Eukaryota, Metazoa, Chordata, Actinopteri, Cypriniformes, Nemacheilidae.